This 496-nucleotide ribosomal RNA is filed under the name uncultured bacterium. RNAcentral describes it as "partial 16S ribosomal RNA". It matches the Rfam family "Bacterial small subunit ribosomal RNA", at positions 29 to 507 of the family's 1533-position model. The record is from RNAcentral.
AUGAACGCUGGCGGCGUGCCUCAUACCUGCAAGUCGAGCGAACGGACGAGAAGCUUGCUUUUCUGAUGUUAGCGGCGGACGGGUGAGUAACACGUGGAUAACCUACCUAUAAGACUGGGAUAACUUCGGGAAACCGGAGCUAAUACCGGAUAAUAUUUUGAACCGCAUGGUUCAAAAGUGAAAGACGGUCUUGCUGUCACUUAUAGAUGGAUCCGCGCUGCAUUAGCUAGUUGGUAAGGUAACGGCUUACCAAGGCAACGAUGCAUAGCCGACCUGAGAGGGUGAUCGGCCACACUGGAACUGAGACACGGUCCAGACUCCUACGGGAGGCAGCAGUAGGGAAUCUUCCGCAGUGGGCGAAAGCCUGACGGAGCAACGCCGCGUGAGUGAUGAAGGUCUUCGGAUCGUAAAACUCUGUUAUUAGGGAAGAACAUAUGUGUAAGUAACUGUGCACAUCUUGACGGUACCUAAUCAGAAAGCCACGGCUAACUACGUG